GAUGAAGAACGCAGCGAAAUGCGAUAAGUAAUGUGAAUUGCAGAAUUCAGUGAAUCAUCGAAUCUUUGAACGCACAUUGCGCCCGCCAGUAUUCUGGCGGGCAUGCCUGUCCGAGCGUCAUUUCAACCAUCAAGCCCCGGGCUUGUGUUGGGGACCUGCGUCCGACGCAGGCCCUGAAAACCAGUGGCGGGCUCGCUGUCCACACCGAGCGUAGUAACUAACCUCGCUAUGGAGUGGCGCUGGCGCCUGCCGUAAAACCCCCAAUUUCACAAGGUUGACCUCGGAUCAGGUAGGAAUACCCGCUGAACUUAAGCAUAUCAAUAAGCGGAGGA
This 332-nucleotide unclassified non-coding RNA is filed under the name soil metagenome. RNAcentral describes it as "partial contains 5.8S ribosomal RNA, internal transcribed spacer 2, and large subunit ribosomal RNA". The stretch from base 1 to 120 matches the Rfam family "5.8S ribosomal RNA", at positions 35 to 154 of the family's 154-position model. The record is from RNAcentral.